AUUGAACGCUGGCGGCAGGCCUAACACAUGCAAGUCGAGCGGAUGAAGGGAGCUUGCUCCUGGAUUCAGCGGCGGGCGGGUGAGUAAUGCCUAGGAAUCUGCCUGGUAGUGGGGGAUAACGUCCGGAAACGGGCGCUAAUACCGCAUACGUCCUGAGGGAGAAAGUGGGGGAUCUUCGGACCUCACGCUAUCAGAUGAGCCUAGGUCGGAUUAGCUAGUUGGUGGGGUAAAGGCCUACCAAGGCGACGAUCCGUAAUUGGUCUGAGAGGAUGAUCAGUCACACUGGAACUGAGACACGGUCCAGACUCCUACGGGAGGCAGCAGUGGGGAAUAUUGGACAAUGGGCGAAAGCCUGAUCCAGCCAUGCCGCGUGUGUGAAGAAGGUCUUCGGAUUGUAAAGCACUUUAAGUUGGGAGGAAGGGCAGUAAGUUAAUACCUUGCUGUUUUGACGUUACCAACAGAAUAAGCACCGGCUAACUUCGUG
This 484-nucleotide ribosomal RNA is filed under the name uncultured bacterium. RNAcentral's name for it is "partial 16S ribosomal RNA". It matches the Rfam family "Bacterial small subunit ribosomal RNA", at positions 30 to 507 of the family's 1533-position model. The record is from RNAcentral.